This 368-nucleotide long non-coding RNA is filed under the name Androctonus crassicauda. The record is from RNAcentral. Lineage: Eukaryota; Metazoa; Arthropoda; Arachnida; Scorpiones; Buthidae.
GUGCAUUGUGGCCAGUUUUAAACGACCAAACACUGAUGCUCAACAUUAUUUCACUUUGUGGCCAUUGUGAAGUAACCACAAAUGCAUUAUGGGAAACUCCACCAAAACCAAUACAUGUUCUGCACAUUUUGAAACAACCACAGACCAUUCUGAAACAGAUCAGGGCAUGUGUUAGUAGUAGUAUGUGGUAUGUUUGUAGUAUGUUACGGAAAGCAUCAGGAGCCUCCUUUGGGUUUCAAUAAGUCAUGUUUCAUCAUGUGCUCCUGCACACAUUAUUCUAACACUAAUAAGUGUAAGUGUCAAAAAGUUUUGUGCAAUUCAAAAUGUCAUAGUAACAGUGCCUGUAAGAAUAAUUGUAUCUGUAGAAC